ACUCCAGUUCUCAUCUGAUCACUGAAGUGAAACAAUGCUGAGCCUGGUUACUACUCAGAUGGGUGGCUGUUGGGGAAUACCAUGU
This is a non-coding RNA of Acanthosepion pharaonis, 85 nucleotides long. The record is from the annotation of a GenBank genome assembly. Lineage: Eukaryota; Metazoa; Mollusca; Cephalopoda; Sepiida; Sepiidae.